Molecule: ribosomal RNA, 460 nt
Filed under: uncultured bacterium
Lineage: Bacteria
Description: partial 16S ribosomal RNA
Rfam family: Bacterial small subunit ribosomal RNA
Source: RNAcentral
CCUACGGGCGGCAGCAGUGAGGAAUAUUGGUCAAUGGACGGAAGUCUGAACCAGCCAUGCCGCGUGCAGGAAGACGGCUCUAUGAGUUGUAAACUGCUUUUGUACAAGGGUAAACCUGAAUACGUGUAUUCAGCUGACAGUACUGUACGAAUAAGGAUCGGCUAACUCCGUGCCAGCAGCCGCGGUACUACGGAGGAUCCAAGCGUUAUCCGGAUGUAUUGGGUUUAAAGGGUGCGUAGGCGGAUUGAUAAGUUAGAGGUGAAAUGUCCGAGCUUAACUCGGGAAUUGCCUCUAAUACUGUUGAGCUAGAGAGUAGAUGCGGUAGGCGGAAUGUAUGGUGUAGCGGUGAAAUGCUUAGAGAUCAUACAGAACACCGAUUGCGAAGGCAGCUUACCAAUCUAUAUCUGACGUUGAGGCACGAAAGCGUGGGGAGCAAACAGGAUUAGAUACCCUUGUAGUC